This 2607-nucleotide long non-coding RNA is filed under the name Vigna radiata. RNAcentral describes it as "long non-coding RNA (VRAD_LNC001919)". The record is from RNAcentral. Lineage: Eukaryota; Viridiplantae; Streptophyta; Magnoliopsida; Fabales; Fabaceae.
UUUCCUUUCUUAAUUCUGAAGGUUUGGGGUAAGAAAGAGUUGGGAUUCCAGUGUUAUUUCCUAUAGAAAUUCCUGUCUUGUUCUUUCCUUUGUGGUGGUAUAUUGUACUCUAGUGUAAUAGAGGAAUGCAGAUUCAAGGAGAACUUGAUCUGUAUACCUUCUUUAGAAUUGGUUUAAGCCUUUGAGACACAUUCUUGCCUCGAAGACAAGGAGUUAGAAGACCCAAAUUUAGGUUUCAAAGGAUGAGUGAGUGCAUAUUGGAGUUUAGAAGAAAUGUUUGGGUGAAGAAGUUUUCAAGAACAGAGUCAGCAAAUCGAAUACCGUGCAUUCCACAAGAAGAGUUGGAUUCGAAGGCUAAAAUAAGAGAAGCUUUGGAUAAGCAUGGGUGUAACAAGGUUUGAGAAAUCAGUUUGAUUCAGUAUAUUAGUAACGUCAGAGGUUAGAAGAAAGGAAGUAAAAGAAAAAGAGUUGAGAAGUUGUGAAAGAUAUAGAACAAAUUUAAGGAGCGUGUAUAGAAAGUCGAAAUUUUCGAAUUGAGGGAAUGUGAAGUCUUUGAAGGGAAUUAAAGUAUCAUUUAGGUUUGAGUUAAGUGAUAAUUAGAAGAAGAUGGAUAGGCAUUAUCAACAAGUAUUUGCCAUACUCAAGUUUAGAUUGGUGUUUCAAGAUUUGUGGAUAGUUUAGAAUAAAGGUUUAAUCAUUGAUUGAGAUGAGAGAUUUCAAGUGUUGAAGGAAGGAGUACAUCAGAAUGUGAGUUUGGCAGGAAAGUAUAAGGUUAAAGAACUAAGAGCAUAGUGAAUGAGAAAAGGAGAAGAAAGGUUUUAGAAUAAAUGACAGAGGGUGGUUACAGUAUAAGUUGUGUAAGAGGGCAUCGCGAAUGAUUAGAGUCUGGGUUGGUUGAUACGUUCAAAUUUAUGAAGCAGCAGGUUGUGGUAAGGUCAAUUUUCACCGGAUAUAGUUUUAUGAUGAUGUUCAGUGGUCGACUAAGUUUAAUAAAAAAAGAAAUGGAUGUUUAAUUAUGGGUUACAAGAGGCAGUGCAUUGGUAAAUUUCAGAUAAGGUCAGAGGGUCGACGUUGUGGGCUAUGGGUACUCGGAGUUCAUAGGAUUAAAGGUGGGAUUGGUAUUUUGAUGAUUCUGAAUUGAGGAAGGUAAUUUUGGGACAAGGUUGUAAACUGCGUUGGCAACGAUAGGUACAUGAGGAAUUCUAAGUGCAUAUAGUAUGUGGGGGAGUCGCUAUAAGAGCUCAUGUUUGAGGUUUAUAGGGAGUAAUUUCUUGGCAAGGAAGGAAAUCGAGGAUGAUACAUCAAGUGUAGUUGAGCCAAAGAUGGAAGCAAGUGUUAUGGGAAUUCAGGAUGUCUGAUGAACGCAAGUGAAGAAGAUGUGAUGUCAUUCUUUUCAGGUUUGAGGUGUGAUAACAAGAUAGGUUUGUUUGUCUUCAAAUUGUUUCGGAUGGUUAUAGCAUUCUAAAGAAGUACUGUGUUUUGAGAAGAGGAAACCUGGUUAUGCAUUAGAAGUGGUCAAGUUAUAAAGGAUAAGACGAAGGGUUGUAAGAGUCAGAAUAUGUUAGCAAGAAUACGUGGAGAAGAGAAUAUAGAUCUUUAUGGUGUAACAAUUUUGGGUUGGUGUUCUAAAACAGGCAUGUGAUUUUAUAACUCAGAGAAGUGGUGGAUUUGGCUAGAGCGGUAGUGCUUAGACUCAGUGUAAUGGCAGGAGAACUACAAAGGUUGAAGAAUCAUAGGAGGAAAGUAGAAGGCCAGUUGAAAUGUUCUAGUUAAGUCUUACCAAUCAGAAGUGAGUUCAAGCAUGUAUGCUUUUCGAAGAGUAGAAAUAAUGUUGAGGAAAUGGAAUGACGAGAUUAUCGUGGAAGAAAGGACUUACAGGGUGUUGCAAAGUCAUGGAAAGUUUAAAGAAGGCUCUUCAAGGAUGAUCAUCUUUGGAUUGCAAUUGUUGUGAAGGAAGUGUCUUUUCGAAAAACUAGUGAGCAAGGAAGUUUGAGGAUCAGAGUAGCGCAGCGGAUGUUAGUGGGCUUAUUCUUAUCAGUACCAAGUGUAUGUGAAGCAUUUUUCAAGGUCAGGUGUCGGCGGUUAUGUGGAAUGAGCCUCUUUAAAAACAACAAGGACGUCACUACCUAGGGCAUCACUUAGGAUUGUUUGGUGAUCUGCAAGAGUUAGAAGUGAGUUUAGGUGUGAGGGAGAUAAGUAUAAAGAAAAGGAGACAAGUGAGACUUUAUUUUCAAGAUGUCGUGUCGACCUGAAAGUGGGAGAAUAAAUGGACGUUGAGCAGGAAGAGUGGACCAGUGGACGAAGGAGAUGAUUUGAGCUACGAUUUUGAGUUAUAAUGGCAAUCUACAGGUAAGGAAAUGUUAACAGAUGAUUUAAACAAAGAGAAGAUUCAUGUUCUUGGUUUGAUAAGAAUUGAAUAAGAGUUGGUUGAAGAAUAUAAAGAUUGGGGUCUCUAGUGAAGCAGUAAAGUAGUUUCAGUAGUACAAUUGAAUAUUAUAACUAAUGGGUUUCUCAAAAUGGUUGAGAAAGCGCCAUUUGGACAAUCCUAGUUUGAGAUGUAUCAAAAGUUGGCUUGAUACUGAUCAAGCUAGUGAUCUCGAGUCGAAG